RNAcentral lists this ribosomal RNA (1357 nucleotides) under Halomonas caseinilytica. Its description in RNAcentral is "bacterial SSU rRNA". It matches the Rfam family "Bacterial small subunit ribosomal RNA", at positions 92 to 1450 of the family's 1533-position model. The record is from RNAcentral. Lineage: Bacteria; Pseudomonadati; Pseudomonadota; Gammaproteobacteria; Oceanospirillales; Halomonadaceae.
CGAGCGGCGGACGGGUGAGUAAUGCAUAGGAAUCUGCCCGAUAGUGGGGGAUAACCUGAGGAAACUCAGGCUAAUACCGCAUACGUCCUACGGGAGAAAGCAGGGGCUCUUCGGACCUUGCGCUAUCGGAUGAGCUUAUGUCGGAUUAGCUGGUUGGUGAGGUAACGGCUCACCAAGGCGACGAUCCGUAGCUGGUCUGAGAGGAUGAUCAGCCACAUCGGGACUGAGACACGGCCCGAACUCCUACGGGAGGCAGCAGUGGGGAAUAUUGGACAAUGGGGGCAACCCUGAUCCAGCCAUGCCGCGUGUGUGAAGAAGGCCCUCGGGUUGUAAAGCACUUUCAGUGAGGAAGAAGGCUUGUCGGUUAAUACCCGGCAAGAAAGACAUCACUCACAGAAGAAGCACCGGCUAACUCCGUGCCAGCAGCCGCGGUAAUACGGAGGGUGCGAGCGUUAAUCGGAAUUACUGGGCGUAAAGCGUGCGUAGGCGGCUUGAUAAGCCGGUUGUGAAAGCCCCGGGCUCAACUGGGAACGGCAUCCGGAACUGUCAGGCUAGAGUGCAGGAGAGGAAGGUAGAAUUCCCGGUGUAGCGGUGAAAUGCGUAGAGAUCGGGAGGAAUACCAGUGGCGAAGGCGGCCUUCUGGACUGACACUGACGCUGAGGUACGAAAGCGUGGGUAGCAAACAGGAUUAGAUACCCUGGUAGUCCACGCCGUAAACGAUGUCGACUAGCCGUUGGGGUCCUCGAGACCUUUGUGGCGCAGUUAACGCACUAAGUCGACCGCCUGGGGAGUACGGCCGCAAGGUUAAAACUCAAAUGAAUUGACGGGGGCCCGCACAAGCGGUGGAGCAUGUGGUUUAAUUCGAUGCAACGCGAAGAACCUUACCUACCCUUGACAUCGUGCGAACUUUCCAGAGAUGGAUUGGUGCCUUCGGGAACGCACAGACAGGUGCUGCAUGGCUGUCGUCAGCUCGUGUUGUGAAAUGUUGGGUUAAGUCCCGUAACGAGCGCAACCCUUGUCCCUAUUUGCCAGCGAUUCGGUCGGGAACUCUAGGGAGACUGCCGGUGACAAACCGGAGGAAGGUGGGGACGACGUCAAGUCAUCAUGGCCCUUACGGGUAGGGCUACACACGUGCUACAAUGGCCGGUACAAUGGGUUGCAAAGCGGCGACGUGGAGCUAAUCCCAUAAAGCCGGUCUCAGUCCGGAUCGGAGUCUGCAACUCGACUCCGUGAAGUCGGAAUCGCUAGUAAUCGUGCAUCAGAAUGGCACGGUGAAUACGUUCCCGGGCCUUGUACACACCGCCCGUCACACCAUGGGAGUGGACUGCACCAGAAGUGGUUAGCCUAACUCGGAGGG